CAUUGAGAAGCUAACAUAGCGUUAACCUUUUAAGUUAAAGACUGAGAAUGCAAGCUUCUCCUUAAUGA
This 68-nucleotide transfer RNA is filed under the name Ursus arctos (brown bear). RNAcentral describes it as "tRNA-Lys". It matches the Rfam family "tRNA". From Rfam's summary of the family: Transfer RNA (tRNA) molecules are approximately 80 nucleotides in length. Their secondary structure includes four short double-helical elements and three loops (D, anti-codon, and T loops). Further hydrogen bonds mediate the characteristic L-shaped molecular structure. tRNAs have two regions of fundamental functional importance: the anti-codon, which is responsible for specific mRNA codon recognition, and the 3' end, to which the tRNAs corresponding amino acid is attached (by aminoacyl-tRNA synthetases). tRNAs cope with the degeneracy of the genetic code in two manners: having more than one tRNA (with a specific anti-codon) for a particular amino acid; and 'wobble' base-pairing, i.e. permitting non-standard base-pairing at the 3rd anti-codon position. Lineage: Eukaryota; Metazoa; Chordata; Mammalia; Carnivora; Ursidae. The record is from RNAcentral.